AUUCCAGCUCCAAUAGCGUAUAUUAAAGUUGUUGCAGUUAAAAAGCUCGUAGUUGAAUUUUGGACCUGGUUGAAUGGUCCCGCCGCAAGGUGGGUACUGUUUGAUUGGGUCUUUCUUUGCGGGGAAUUAGUGAGCUCUUAAUUGGGUGCAUUAAGGAUCCGUAACUUUUACUUUGAAAAAAUUAGAGUGUUUAAAGCAGGCUUAGGCCUGAAUACAUUAGCAUGGAAUAAUAGAAUAGGACCUGUGUUCUAUUUUGUUGGUUUCUAGGACGUAGGUAAUGAUUAAUAGGGACAGUUGGGGGCAUUAGUAUUUAAGUGUCAGAGGUGAAAUUCUUGGAUUGCUUAAAGACUAACUUCUGCGAAAGCAUUUGCCAAGGAUGUUUUCAUCA
RNAcentral lists this ribosomal RNA (388 nucleotides) under Chytridiomycetes sp. Its description in RNAcentral is "partial small subunit ribosomal RNA". It matches the Rfam family "Eukaryotic small subunit ribosomal RNA", at positions 582 to 975 of the family's 1831-position model. The record is from RNAcentral. Lineage: Eukaryota; Fungi; Chytridiomycota; Chytridiomycetes.